This 72-nucleotide transfer RNA is filed under the name Trichonephila inaurata madagascariensis. It matches the Rfam family "tRNA". From Rfam's summary of the family: Transfer RNA (tRNA) molecules are approximately 80 nucleotides in length. The record is from Rfam by way of RNAcentral. Lineage: Eukaryota; Metazoa; Arthropoda; Arachnida; Araneae; Nephilidae.
GGGGGUAUAGCUCAGUGGUAGAGCAUUCGGCUGCAGAUCGAGAGAUCUCCGGUUCAAACCCGGGUGUCCCCU